GACGAACGCUGGCGGCGUGCUUAACACAUGCAAGUCGAACGGAAAGGCCUCUUUCGGGGGGUACUCGAGUGGCGAACGGGUGAGUAACACGUGAGUAACCUGCCCUUGACUUUGGGAUAACUUCAGGAAACUGGGGCUAAUACCGGAUAGGAGCUCUUGCUGCAUGGUGGGGGUUGGAAAGUUUCGGCGGUUGGGGAUGGACUCGCGGCUUAUCAGCUUGUUGGUGGGGUAGUGGCUUACCAAGGCUUUGACGGGUAGCCGGCCUGAGAGGGUGACCGGCCACAUUGGGACUGAGAUACGGCCCAGACUCCUACGGGAGGCAGCAGUGGGGAAUAUUGCACAAUGGGCGGAAGCCUGAUGCAGCAACGCCGCGUGCGGGAUGACGGCCUUCGGGUUGUAAACCGCUUUCGCCUGUGACGAAGCGCGAGUGACGGUAAUGGGUAAAGAAGCACCGGCUAACUACGUG
This 466-nucleotide ribosomal RNA is filed under the name uncultured bacterium. RNAcentral describes it as "partial 16S ribosomal RNA". It matches the Rfam family "Bacterial small subunit ribosomal RNA", at positions 28 to 507 of the family's 1533-position model. The record is from RNAcentral.